CAUUGAUUUUAUGGCAUUAAAAUAAGUUUAAAAAAGUUAAAACACUGGAAAAAAAAGUUUAAAAAUUUACGAAAUUACAAUAAUGCCAUAAAUUGUGUGUGUGUGCGUGUGUACAUAUAUGCAUGUAUGUAUAAGUAAAUGUAUGUAUGUAUAUACAUAUAUAAGUAUGUAUGUAUAUAUAUACAUACAUACGUACAUAUUUCAUUAAUGUCAUAUUUGUAAAUAAUGUAAUUUUUUUCCCAUUUCUUUCUUUUCUCCUGUGUUUUUCUUCCCUUCUUUUCCUUCCAGUUCAUAACUCCAUCCCAUUUAUUUUCACCCAGAGCUCAUUUUCUCCAUUUCCCUCUAUCUCCACCCUAUUCCUAUGUAUUUCCUCUUCCUACCAUCUUUCUCUCAUGAAUCUAGUAAGUGAAUUAUGGACACAACACGUAUCAAAGAAAAGAUUGAAAAUCAAUUGUGCAUUAUCUUUAAACUAAAUGUAUAUUUUUUUUGUAAAAAAUGUGCUUAUUUUAAAAAUGAUAUGUGCUUGCAUAUUUGAUAGUAGAAAUGUGCAAUUCCUUUGUACUUAAAAUGCAUAUUCGGAUGCCGUUCUUUUUAUUUGCUUUUGUAGUAAUAUGUACUAGGCUCUUUUCUUUAUCCUUUGUCAAAAAACAAAGCAUAUUCUUUACAUAAAACAUUAUAAGUUGAGGAAGAAAACCUAGUUAUGGUUGGUAAUAAGGAGAAGGGCUCUGCCGGGUCGAAACCUCUCAUAGUUCCUCCCGGAUCGGGCUAGAUAUUUUGAGUGUGUGUGUGUGUUGGGGGGGGGGGAAGGAUAAAGAAAUCCCCACCCCAAAGUACCUCUAGUGGGUUUGAUCCUACAACCUCUUCACUGUGAGAUGCAAACUUUUUCACUAGACAUUGCUUGAUUUGUAUGUGUGUGUGUGUGUGUGUGUUUGUUUCUUUGUUGAGAUAAUAUGAGAACCAAGAUGAAUAAUGAGAACUAAGAACUAAUAUGAGCCUUUAAUCACGCUCGAUCUGACGGCUCACGUUCACCUGCACUCAUUAAUGGCAUUUUCGUAAUUUCGCGGCUUUUCAAAGUUUUUUCAGCUUUUAACUUUUAAGGCAAUUUCAUUUACUUUAUGAUUAAUUUCAUUUACUUUUACUAAGUUUUCAUUUACUUUUACUAAGUUUUCAUUUAUUUUAUGAAAUGAAAUUGGAACUGUUUUGUAAAGUUGAAAUAUUACAAAAAUGUCAUUAAUGAUAUGGGAAGCAUGUGGACUGUCUGAUUAAUAUAAAAGCCUAAAUAAGUUCAUAGUUCUCAUUUUAGCCAUGAAGCAUGUGGACUGUCCGAUUAAUAUAAAAGCCUAAAUAAGUUCAUAGUUCUCAUUUUAGCCUUGGUUUUCAUUAUUACUUGAUUCUAUAUGCAAAUGAGAUUAUGUGAAGCCUAGAUAAGUUCAUAGUUCUCAUUUUAGCAUUGGUUCUCAUUAUAACUUGAUUCUAUAUAUAAAUGAGAUUAUGUGAAAACUUAGGUGUAUAUUUUGAGAAUUAAGAACCAAUCUCAGCAAUUAAUCAUUAAAAUUGAGUUUUUUUUUUUUUACUUGAUGACAUUUAGUAUAUUUUCGUUAAAAUAAGUUGUGCAAGGGGUUGAACAAAUAUGUAUUUACUUUUAAUGUAAAAUGAUUUACUAUAAUAAUGUUCCGCUUUACUUAUAGGAUAAUUUGUUCAAAAGGACCACUUAAGCGGUCUCUUUUGUUCAGAACGACCAAUUAAGACAAAAGUUGUUAAAAAGGACCACAAAACACACUUUGGGUUGUUAAGAGGGACCAAGUUUUAUUUUCAGGCAAGUCAAUGCCGGACUCCGGCGUUGACCAUCACGUGCCAGGCACAUGACUCAUUGAGUUGAGUCUAAUUUUUUUUUUUUCUCACUUUUUUCACGAUUUUCCCCCAAAAUUCCCAAUUACCCCCAAUUGUUUUCAUUUCUUCUUUCUCUCUCCUCAAAGUAUAAACUCUAGAUUGACUGUAAUGUGCAAUUGAGCCCUCUUUCUCCUAACAAAUUCAUCCACAAUGCAGUUGACUGUUGAGGACAAGUCACAGAAGCAAAAUGAAUCUGGGCAAAAUGAAGAGAACUAAGUGCAGCGGAAUAUCAAGUCGAUUGACAAUUGUGCUUUUUUUGCCCUUUUCCUUUCCUUUUGCCAUUGAUAAGGUCAAAAACAAAAACAAAAACAAAAACAAAAAAAAAAUGAAUACAAAUGGUGAGGAAACACUCCAAGAUAAGAAAGGAAAGUGACAGGGAGAGAGAAUAGUACAAAGAAUUUACCUUUAAUAGCCUCUGAUCUCACCAACAAUGGCAGACUUCUAAAUCCAUGAACAGUGCUUUUGAGCAGGGAGAAAAAGAAGAAGAAAUGGAAAAUAGGGAAUGUUGGGGGUAAUCGUAAAAAAAAAUAAAAAAAACAACAACAACCCAACUUCAUGGCACGUGAUGGUCUACCUGAAAAUAGGACUUGGUCCCUCUCAACAACCCAAAGUGUGUUUUGUGGUCCUUUUUAACAACUUUUUUUUAAUUGGUCCUUCUGAAUAAAAGAGACAACUUAAGUGGUCCUUUUGAAUAAAUUUUCCUUACUUUUAACAUAGUAAACAUAAACGAGCAAAUGCAACCCCUAAUAAAAAUUGUUGCAAUAGGGCAAGAAGCCGUUGCUAUAGACCUAUUCUAACGACUAAACCGUUGCAUUUGCGGCUGUUGCCAAUGGCGGAUCUAGGGGGCACAUAGAGUUACAGUUGUACCCCCAUUCUGCCAAAAAAAAA
This is a long non-coding RNA of Chenopodium quinoa (quinoa), 2778 nucleotides long. RefSeq lists it as uncharacterized. The transcript is spliced from 2 exons. Lineage: Eukaryota; Viridiplantae; Streptophyta; Magnoliopsida; Caryophyllales; Amaranthaceae. The record is from RefSeq and is a predicted model, not a curated record.